This is a long non-coding RNA of Ornithorhynchus anatinus (platypus), 1095 nucleotides long. RefSeq lists it as uncharacterized. The record is from RefSeq and is a predicted model, not a curated record. NCBI's taxonomy places the organism in Eukaryota, Metazoa, Chordata, Mammalia, Monotremata, Ornithorhynchidae. The transcript has 2 exons.
CCUGAUGCCGUGGCUGAAAAGUCAUGACGUCACAGAGCUCGAGAGCUCGGCUCAAGUGGGUCUGCCAACUGGUAGUGCCCCACAACCACAGGCAACUCUGAUCUGGCCCUCCGGCCCCUUCCCAGGAACAUCCCACCCCCCGCCCUCGGUCUGAGAUCGGACCAAGGAAUCGGGGACACUGGGAUCAGCUCAGCAGUCUCAGGGGCUGGACUUCCUGGGCGAGUGCUGCUGAGGCUCUUAACUCCCUUUCCUUUCGAAGAAUCUAGAAGGGACCCGUUAAAUCCCUCUACUCAUAAAUUUCCACCUUCUCGGGAAUCCGUAUCCAUUUCCUCCCCUCCGCCUGUCCACCCCGGGGCCCCGGCCGUCAGGUGGCAUGCAGACGAGUCUCAGGGCCGCCUCAGGAUCUGACUUUUGGGAAGUCGUCUUGUAGACCGGCUUUCGGUCUGUGCACUUUUCCGCCGGGUACCCGAUCUGCGAAAGUCACCACGGACUCCGGAGACAAAAAGACUUCAAAAACGUGGCCACGAAAUCCUCAAGAGGGGAAACCAAGGCAGGGAACGCCCGGGGUCGAUGUCUCCUCGACCGAUCGCCAUCGGAUUACCGGCUCUGGGUCUGCCACCCCUAGCUACGAUGCAUAGAGGCCCUAAGGAACCGAGGUCCCAAGCUUUAACACUUCAUUCUAUUUCGGAGUAAGUUCUAACCAACCUUUUAAUCAUUGGCGAUUGCCAUCUCUUUCCCAUCUGCAUCCUGAGAGCAGUGGAGAAAAACACAUGUCAAGAAUUCCAUUUACCACCGAUCGGCUUUGACACAAGAUACUGACGAUACCCUUGAAAGCGUUCGAAAACUUCUCGACGCUUCAAUCAGUCUUUGGUCAUGCACGUGGAAGACACAGCAAUCUGAAACUUCUGAUCGGAUCGGUGCCGGUUCCACCAACCACCAAGGGAGAAGCAAAUCCGUCGCCCCUGGCCGUCUGGCAGGUGAGACCACCCCACUGUCAAACCAGGAGGCCAGCCUGCCAGAAUCACCAGACCAACAUGAAAAGUUAAGGGUGAGCCGUCAUCAAAGUUUUGCAAAGUAAAUAUUCAGAGAAAGUCA